UACAGAGGGGGCAAGCGUUAUUCGGAAUUAUUGGGCGUAAAGGGCGCGUAGGCGGUUUUUUAAGUCGGAUGUGCAAUCCCCAGGCUCAACCUGGGAACUGCAUCCGAGACUGGAAGGCUAGAGUACUGGAGAGGGUGGUGGAAUUCCUCGUGUAGCGGUGAAAUGCGUAGAGAUGAGGAGGAACACCAGUGGCGAAGGCGCCUUGCUGGGAAGUCACUGACGCUGAGGCGCGAAAGCGUGGGGAGCAAACAGG
Molecule: ribosomal RNA, 253 nt
Filed under: uncultured bacterium
Lineage: Bacteria
Description: partial 16S ribosomal RNA
Rfam family: Bacterial small subunit ribosomal RNA
Source: RNAcentral